RNAcentral lists this ribosomal RNA (578 nucleotides) under Kregervanrija fluxuum. Its description in RNAcentral is "eukaryotic LSU rRNA". It matches the Rfam family "Eukaryotic large subunit ribosomal RNA", at positions 69 to 669 of the family's 3401-position model. The record is from RNAcentral. Lineage: Eukaryota; Fungi; Ascomycota; Pichiomycetes; Pichiales; Pichiaceae.
CACGGGAUGACUCGUAGCGGCGAGUGAGCGGCAAAAGCUCAAAUUUGAAAUCUGGUAGUUCUGCUACCCGAGUUGUAAUUUGUAGAAAACUGUCUUUGUUAGGGUGCCUGUCUAAGUUCCUUGGAACAGGACGUCGCAGAGGGUGAGAAUCCCGUGUGAUGGGUGGCCCGAGCUUUUAAGGCGUUUUCGAAGAGUCGAGUUGUUUGGGAAUGCAGCUCUAAGUGGGUGGUAAAUUCCAUCUAAAGCUAAAUAUUGGCGAGAGACCGAUAGCGAACAAGUACAGUGAUGGAAAGAUGAAAAGAACUUUGAAAAGAGAGUGAAACAGUACGUGAAAUUGUUGAAAGGGAAGGGUAUUUGAUCCGACAUGGGAUUUACUCAUCAUUGCUCCUUGUGGGUGGUGCUCUGGGUUUUUUCUGGGCCAGAAUCAGUUUGUGUGGCGGGAUAAAGGCGUGAGGAAGUAGCUCUUCUGGAGCAAUAUAACUCAUGUUAAUACUGCCUAUGCGGACUGAGGAAUGCGGUUUUUACCAAGGAUUCUGGCAUAACGAUUAAAUACCGCCCGUAGUCCAAAAACGGAACAA